ACGUGAUGGUCGUUGACGACUUGGAGUAGUUAGGAGGCUCCCAGGCAGGAGGCCUUGCCUUUUCGAUCGUUGAUGCUUUUGUGCUAGCCUUCUUAAGGCAAACUUGCUUAACUUAUGUCUGUACUCAG
Non-coding RNA from Triticum urartu, 128 nucleotides. NCBI's taxonomy places the organism in Eukaryota, Viridiplantae, Streptophyta, Magnoliopsida, Poales, Poaceae. The record is from RefSeq and is a predicted model, not a curated record.